RNAcentral lists this ribosomal RNA (253 nucleotides) under uncultured bacterium. RNAcentral's name for it is "partial 16S ribosomal RNA". It matches the Rfam family "Bacterial small subunit ribosomal RNA", at positions 524 to 776 of the family's 1533-position model. The record is from RNAcentral.
UACGUAGGGUGCGAGCGUUAAUCGGAAUUACUGGGCGUAAAGCGUGCGCAGGCGGUUGUGCAAGACCGAUGUGAAGUCCCCGGGCUUAACCUGGGAAUGGCAUUGGUGACUGCACGGCUAGAGUGUGUCAGAGGGGGGUAGAAUUCCACGUGUAGCAGUGAAAUGCGUAGAGAUGUGGAGGAAUACCGAUGGCGAAGGCAGCCCCCUGGGAUAACACUGACGCUCAUGCACGAAAGCGUGGGGAGCAAACAGG